RNAcentral lists this ribosomal RNA (850 nucleotides) under uncultured archaeon. RNAcentral's name for it is "bacterial SSU rRNA". It matches the Rfam family "Archaeal small subunit ribosomal RNA", at positions 48 to 841 of the family's 1478-position model. The record is from RNAcentral.
GCCAUGCGAGUUGUAUGGGAUACCUAAAUUUCCCAUGGCAAACUGCUCAGUAACACAUGAUCAACUUGCCCUAUAGAGAAAAAUAACCUCGGGAAAGUAUCAUAACGAUUUAAAUAUAUAGACUAUGAUACCCCGAAACUGAGGAUAAUGUUUCAUAGCUGAAAAGGCUUGGAAAAGUUUUUCAAUUAAAGGGAUAGGGAAAAUGGUCCUUAUCUGCUAUAGGAUAGGAUCGUGUUCGAUUAUGGUUGUUGGCGAGGUAAUGGCUCACCAAGCCGAUAAUCGAUAGGGGCCGUGAGAGCGGAGGCCCCGAGAUGGGUACUGAGACAGCGACCCAGGCCUUACGAGGCGCAGCAGGCGCGAAACCUCCACAAUACACGAAAGUGUGAUGGGGUUACCCAAAGUGUUCUAUUAAGAACUGUGGUAGGUGAGUAAUGUUCCCUACUAGAAAGGAGAGGGCAAGGCUGGUGCCAGCCGCCGCGGUAAAACCAGCUCUUCAAGUGGUCGGGAUAAUUAUUGGGCUUAAAGUGUCCGUAGCUGGUUUAGUAAGUUCCUGGUAAAAUCGGGUAGCUUAACUAUCUGCAUGCUAGGAAUACUGCUAUACUAGAGGGCGGGAGAGGUUUGAGGUACUACAGGGGUAGGGGUGAAAUCUUAUAAUCCUUGUAGGACCACCAGUGGCGAAGGCGUCAGACUGGAACGCGCCUGACGGUGAGGGACGAAAGCCAGGGGAGCGAACCGGAUUAGAUACCCGGGUAGUCCUGGUCGUAAACGAUGCAUACUAGGUGAUGGCACGGCCAUGAGCCAUGUCAGUGCCGUAGGGAAACCGUUAAGUGUGCCGCCUGGGAAGUACGGU